GUCGAGCGGAAACGAUGAUAGCUUGCUAUCAGGCGUCGAGCGGCGGACGGGUGAGUAAUACUUAGGAAUCUACCUAGUAGUGGGGGAUAGCACGGGGAAACUCGUAUUAAUACCGCAUACGACCUACGGGAGAAAGGGGGCAGUUUACUGCUCUCGCUAUUAGAUGAGCCUAAGUCGGAUUAGCUAGAUGGUGGGGUAAAGGCCUACCAUGGCGACGAUCUGUAGCUGGUCUGAGAGGAUGAUCAGCCACACCGGGACUGAGACACGGCCCGGACUCCUACGGGAGGCAGCAGUGGGGAAUAUUGGACAAUGGGGGAAACCCUGAUCCAGCCAUGCCGCGUGUGUGAAGAAGGCCUUUUGGUUGUAAAGCACUUUAAGCAGUGAAGAAGACUCUUCGGUUAAUACCCGGAGACGAUGACAUUAGCUGCAGAAUAAGCACCGGCUAACUCUGUGCCAGCAGCCGCGGUAAUACAGAGGGUGCAAGCGUUAAUCGGAAUUACUGGGCGUAAAGGGAGCGUAGGUGGCUCGAUAAGUCAGAUGUGAAAUCCCCGGGCUCAACCUGGGAACUGCAUCUGAUACUGUUGAGCUAGAGUAUGUGAGAGGAAGGUAGAAUUCCAGGUGUAGCGGUGAAAUGCGUAGAGAUCUGGAGGAAUACCGAUGGCGAAGGCAGCCUUCUGGCAUAAUACUGACACUGAGGCUCGAAAGCGUGGGUAGCAAACAGGAUUAGAUACCCUGGUAGUCCACGCCGUAAACGAUGUCUACUAGUCGUUGGGUCCCUUGAGGACUUAGUGACGCAGCUAACGCAAUAAGUAGACCGCCUGGGGAGUACGGCCGCAAGGUUAAAACUCAAAUGAAUUGACGGGGGCCCGCACAAGCGGUGGAGCAUGUGGUUUAAUUCGAUGCAACGCGAAGAACCUUACCUGGUCUUGACAUAUCUAGAAUCCUGCAGAGAUGCGGGAGUGCCUUCGGGAAUUAGAAUACAGGUGCUGCAUGGCUGUCGUCAGCUCGUGUCGUGAGAUGUUGGGUUAAGUCCCGCAACGAGCGCAACCCUUGUCCUUAGUUACCAGCGGGUUAAGCCGGGAACUCUAAGGAUACUGCCCGUGACAACUGGAGGAAGGCGGGGACGACUUCAGUCAUCAGGGCCCUUACAACAGGGCUACCACGUGCUACAUGGUAGGUAC
RNAcentral lists this ribosomal RNA (1181 nucleotides) under Psychrobacter cryohalolentis. RNAcentral describes it as "bacterial SSU rRNA". It matches the Rfam family "Bacterial small subunit ribosomal RNA", at positions 61 to 1240 of the family's 1533-position model. The record is from RNAcentral. Lineage: Bacteria; Pseudomonadati; Pseudomonadota; Gammaproteobacteria; Moraxellales; Moraxellaceae.